GACGAACGCUGGCGGCGUGCCUAAUACAUGCAAGUAGAACGCUGAAGGAGGAGCUUGCUUCUCCGGAUGAGUUGCGAACGGGUGAGUAACGCGUAGGUAACCUGCCUGGUAGCGGGGGAUAACUAUUGGAAACGAUAGCUAAUACCGCAUAAGAGUAGAUGUCGCAUGACAUUUGCUUAAAAGGUGCAACUGCACCACUACCAGAUGGACCUGCGUUGUAUUAGCUAGUUGGUGAGGUAACGGCUCACCAAGGCAACGAUACAUAGCCGACCUGAGAGGGUGAUCGGCCACACUGGGACUGAGACACGGCCCAGACUCCUACGGGAGGCAGCAGUAGGGAAUCUCGGCAAUGGACGGAAGUCUGACCGAGCAACGCCGCGGGAGUGAAGAAGGUUUUCGGAUCGUAAAGCUCUGUUGUAAGAGAAGAACGAGUGUGAGAGUGGAAAGUUCACACUGUGACGGUAUCUUACCAGAAAGGGACGGCUAACUACGUG
RNAcentral lists this ribosomal RNA (494 nucleotides) under uncultured bacterium. RNAcentral describes it as "partial 16S ribosomal RNA". It matches the Rfam family "Bacterial small subunit ribosomal RNA", at positions 28 to 507 of the family's 1533-position model. The record is from RNAcentral.